GAUGAACGCUAGCGGCAGGCUUAACACAUGCAAGUCGAGGGGCAGCAUGAUGUAGCAAUACAUUGAUGGCGACCGGCGCAAGGGUGCGUAACGCGUGAGUAACAUGCCCGUAUCAGGGGGAUAACCCGAAGAAAUUCGGACUAAUACCCCAUAGUAAUUUGUGGAGGCAUCUCUAUAAAUUUAAAGCUCCGGCGGAUACGGAUUGACUCGCGUGACAUUAGCUAGAUGGUAAGGUAACGGCUUACCAUGGCAACGAUGUCUAGGGGAACUGAGAGGUUGGUCCCCCACACUGGAACUGAGACACGGUCCAG
Molecule: ribosomal RNA, 311 nt
Filed under: uncultured bacterium
Lineage: Bacteria
Description: bacterial SSU rRNA
Rfam family: Bacterial small subunit ribosomal RNA
Source: RNAcentral